CAGCCGCCGCGGUAAUGCGAAGGGUGCGAGCGUUAAUCGGAAUUACUGGGCGUAAAGCGUGCGCAGGCGGUUGUGUAAGACAGGUGUGAAAUCCCCGGGCUUAACCUGGGAACUGCGCUUGUGACUGCACAGCUAGAGUAUGGCAGAGGGGGGUGGAAUUCCACGUGUAGCAGUGAAAUGCGUAGAGAUGUGGAGGAACACCGAUGGCGAAGGCAGCCCCCUGGGCCAAUACUGACGCUCAUGCACGAAAGCGUGGGGAGCAAACAGGAUUAGAUACCCGCGUAGUCCCUGUCUCUUAUAC
Molecule: ribosomal RNA, 301 nt
Filed under: uncultured bacterium
Lineage: Bacteria
Description: partial 16S ribosomal RNA
Rfam family: Bacterial small subunit ribosomal RNA
Source: RNAcentral